Molecule: ribosomal RNA, 460 nt
Filed under: uncultured bacterium
Lineage: Bacteria
Description: partial 16S ribosomal RNA
Rfam family: Bacterial small subunit ribosomal RNA
Source: RNAcentral
CCUACGGGAGGCUGCAGUGAGGAAUAUUGGGCAAUGGGCGCGAGCCUGAACCAGCCAAGCAGCGUGAAGGAUGAAUGCCCUACGGGUUGUAAACUUCUGUUGUCAGGGAAUAAAGUGCGGCACGUGUGCCUUUUUGUAUGUACUUUAUGAAUAAGAAUCGGCUAACUCCGUGCCAGCAGCCGCGGUAAUACGGAGGAUUCGAGCGUUAGCCGGAUUUAUUGGGUUGAAAGGGAGCGUAGGUGGGUUGUUAAGUCAGUUGUGAAAGUUUGCGGCUCAACCGUAAAAUUGCAAUUGAUACUGGCAGUCUUGAGGACAGGUGAGGUAUGCGGAAUUCGGGGUGUAGCGGUGAAAUGCUUAGAUAUCACGAAGAACUCCGAUUGCGAAGGCAGCUUACUAGACUGCCACUGACGUUGAUGCACGAAAGUGUGGGUAUCGAACAGGAUUAGAUACCCUUGUAGUC